UACAGAGGUCUCAAGCGUUGUUCGGAUUCAUUGGGCGUAAAGGGUGCGUAGGCGGCGGGGCAAGUCAGGUGUGAAAUCUCGGGGCUCAACUCCGAAACUGCAUUUGAUACUGCCUUGCUAGAGUACUGGAGAGGAGAUUGGAAUUUACGGUGUAGCAGUGAAAUGCGUAGAUAUCGUAAGGAAGACCAGUGGCGAAGGCGGAUCUCUGGACAGUUACUGACACUGAGGCACGAAGGCCAGGGAGCAAACGGG
Molecule: ribosomal RNA, 252 nt
Filed under: uncultured bacterium
Lineage: Bacteria
Description: partial 16S ribosomal RNA
Rfam family: Bacterial small subunit ribosomal RNA
Source: RNAcentral